AUGUCAGCUUGGAUGUAAUUCAAUCAAGUGACUACAGUGCUUAUGUCAGCUUGGAUGUUUCCACAUGGCAUUAUUGUGGUACGUUGUGACGUCAUACAAGUCUGAACGUGUUUAGUUGAAAAAAUAACGUAUACAGCAGUCAUUGCAAUUUCAUUUUUGUUUUGUUUUCUUCGCUGCAUAAAUGUAUAAAUAAUUCACGCAAACAGAUCCAGCAUUGCAUCUUUGACAUUCUCUGAAAUCCAAAUUCCCAAAAGUAAGACGUUUGAUGAUAAGUUGAGAAAAAUUCAUAAUUACAUCAAUUACUCAAGGGGGGGGGCGUUCUAAACAAGCCCAUUUUUUUUUAAACAACAGAUUUCAACUCAAAUUCCCUCUCGGUUGAGAAGAAAGAAAGAAGAAGAAACAAGUAGAGCGUUUAAAAAAUGUUAGAAAAAAAGAAAACAGAAUGUCUCUCCAUCU
Biomphalaria pfeifferi is the source of this 456-nucleotide non-coding RNA. The record is from the annotation of a GenBank genome assembly. NCBI's taxonomy places the organism in Eukaryota, Metazoa, Mollusca, Gastropoda, Planorbidae.